RNAcentral lists this non-coding RNA (138 nucleotides) under Vibrio sinaloensis. RNAcentral's name for it is "MoCo sequence". It matches the Rfam family "Molybdenum/Tungsten riboswitch aptamer (Moco RNA motif)". RNAcentral also lists the same sequence under 1 other name. Lineage: Bacteria; Pseudomonadati; Pseudomonadota; Gammaproteobacteria; Vibrionales; Vibrionaceae. The record is from RNAcentral.
CAGUUGCCAUAACUCCGAGCUCUGCGGGCUAAGUUUGUAAAUAAAUAAGCGUGUAGAGCCAGUGACAAGUUGUCACAAGGGCAAGGUUGGAAAUGACGUUGCCUCCCGUGUUUGGAAAGGUGUUCCGUGGCGCAACAA